GGGCCGUUAGCUCAGCUGGUAGAGCAGGUGGCUCUUAACCACUGUGUCAUAGGUUCAAAUCCUAUACGGCCCACCA
Molecule: transfer RNA, 76 nt
Filed under: Legionellales bacterium RIFCSPHIGHO2_12_FULL_37_14
Lineage: Bacteria; Pseudomonadati; Pseudomonadota; Gammaproteobacteria; Legionellales
Description: tRNA-Lys
Rfam family: tRNA
About the family: Transfer RNA (tRNA) molecules are approximately 80 nucleotides in length.
Source: RNAcentral